UACGUAGGGUGCAAGCGUUAAUCGGAAUUACUGGGCGUAAAGCGUGCGCAGGCGGUUUUGUAAGUCUGUCGUGAAAUCCCCGGGCUUAACCUGGGAAUGGCGAUGGUGACUGCAAGGCUAGAGUUUGGCAGAGGGGGGUAGAAUUCCACGUGUAGCAGUGAAAUGCGUAGAGAUGUGGAGGAACACCGGUGGCGAAGGCAGCCCCCUGGGUCAAAACUGACGCUCAUGCACGAAAGCGUGGGGAGCAAACAGG
This 253-nucleotide ribosomal RNA is filed under the name uncultured bacterium. RNAcentral describes it as "partial 16S ribosomal RNA". It matches the Rfam family "Bacterial small subunit ribosomal RNA", at positions 524 to 776 of the family's 1533-position model. The record is from RNAcentral.